GACACUCCCGAUCGCUACCUUUGGAAACUUAAGGGUCAGUUCGGCUGGAUCGGUGACAGGUGCUGCAUGGCUGUCGUCAGCUCGUGUCGUGAGAUGUUGGGUUAAGUCCCGCAACGAGCGCAACCCUCGUCCUUAGUUGCCAGCAUUAAGUUGGGCACUCUAAGGAGACUGCCGGUGUUAAACCGGAGGAAGGCGGGGAUGACGUCAAGUCCUCAUGGCCCUUAUGUCCAGGGCUACACACGUGCUACAAUGGCCGGUACAAAGGGUAGCAAGACCGCGAGGUGGAGCCAACCCCAAAAAGCCGGUCUCAGUUCGGAUUGGAGUCUGCAACUCGACUCCAUGAAGUUGGAAUCGCUAGUAAUCGUGGAUCAGCCAAGCCGCGGUGAAUACGUUCCCGGGCCUU
This 403-nucleotide ribosomal RNA is filed under the name uncultured Desulfuromonas sp. RNAcentral describes it as "bacterial SSU rRNA". It matches the Rfam family "Bacterial small subunit ribosomal RNA", at positions 983 to 1382 of the family's 1533-position model. The record is from RNAcentral. Lineage: Bacteria; Pseudomonadati; Thermodesulfobacteriota; Desulfuromonadia; Desulfuromonadales; Desulfuromonadaceae.